Molecule: ribosomal RNA, 468 nt
Filed under: uncultured bacterium
Lineage: Bacteria
Description: partial 16S ribosomal RNA
Rfam family: Bacterial small subunit ribosomal RNA
Source: RNAcentral
GAUGAACGCUGGCGGCGUGCUUAACACAUGCAACUCGAACGGUGAAGGCGGAGCUUGCUCUGCUGGAUCAGUGGCGAACGGGUGAGUAACACGUGAGCAAUCUGCCCCUGACUCUGGGAUAAGCGCUGGAAACGGCGUCUAAUACUGGAUACGAGCUGCGAAGGCAUCUUCAGCAGCUGGAAAGAACUUCGGUCAGGGAUGAGCUCGCGGCCUAUCAGCUUGUUGGUGAGGUAACGGCUCACCAAGGCGUCGACGGGUAGCCGGCCUGAGAGGGUGACCGGCCACCAGGGGACUGAGAGACGGCCCAGCCCCCACGGGGGGGCGAGGGGGGGAAAUAUGGAAAAGGGGCAGAAAGCUGGAGACACCAGCCCGCGGGGAGGAACGCCGGCUUUGGGGUGAAAAACCUCUUUAGGCGGAGAAGAAGCUAAAGGGACGGUACCUAAAAAAAAAGCGCCGGCUAACUUCGUG